Molecule: ribosomal RNA, 472 nt
Filed under: uncultured organism
Description: partial 16S ribosomal RNA
Rfam family: Bacterial small subunit ribosomal RNA
Source: RNAcentral
ACACUCCUGCGGGAGGCAGCAGUGGGGAAUAUUGCACAAUGGGCGCAAGCCUGAUGCAGCCAUGCCGCGUGUAUGAAGAAGGCUUUCGGGUUGUAAAGUACUUUCAGCGGGGAGGAAGGCGAUAAGGUUAAUAACCUUGUCGAUUGACGUUACCCGCAGAAGAAGCACCGGCUAACUCCGUGCCAGCAGCCGCGGUAAUACGGAGGGUGCAAGCGUUAAUCGGAAUUACUGGGCGUAAAGCGCACGCAGGCGGUCUGUCAAGUCGGAUGUGAAAUCCCCGGGCUCAACCUGGGAACUGCAUUCGAAACUGGCAGGCUAUAGUCUUGUAGAGGGGGGUAGAAUUCCAGGUGUAGCGGUGAAAUGCGUAGAGAUCUGGAGGAAUACCGGUGGCGAAGGCGGCCCCCUGGACAAAGACUGACGCUCAGGUGCGAAAGCGUGGGGAGCAAACAGGAUUAGAAACCCGGGUAGUCCC